AUUGAACGCUGGCGGCAGGCCUAACACAUGCAAGUCGAACGAGUGGCGGACGGGUGAGUAAUGUCUGGGAAACUGCCUGAUGGAGGGGGAUAACUACUGGAAACGGUAGCUAAUACCGCAUACCAUCAGAUGUGCCCAGAUGGGUUUAGCUAGUUGGUGGGGUAUCGGCUCACCAAGGCGACGAUCCCGAGCUGGUCUGCGAGGAUGACCAGCAACACUGGAACUGAGACACGGUCCAGACUCCUACGGGAGGCAGCGGUGGGGAAUUUAGCACAAUGGGCGCAACCCUGAUGCAGCCAUGCCGCGUGUAUGAAGAAGGCCUGCGGGUGGUAAAGUACUUUCAGCGGGGAGGCGUUACCCGCAGAGGAAGCACCGGCUAACUCCGUGCCAGCAGCCGCGGUAAUAC
This 406-nucleotide ribosomal RNA is filed under the name uncultured bacterium. RNAcentral's name for it is "partial 16S ribosomal RNA". It matches the Rfam family "Bacterial small subunit ribosomal RNA", at positions 30 to 526 of the family's 1533-position model. The record is from RNAcentral.